RNAcentral lists this non-coding RNA (31 nucleotides) under Rattus norvegicus (Norway rat). Lineage: Eukaryota; Metazoa; Chordata; Mammalia; Rodentia; Muridae. The record is from RNAcentral.
UGGACUGGGAGUAAAAAGACAACUUAGGUUC